Molecule: long non-coding RNA, 164 nt
Organism: Capsicum annuum
Lineage: Eukaryota; Viridiplantae; Streptophyta; Magnoliopsida; Solanales; Solanaceae
Exons: 3
Source: RefSeq, a predicted model, not a curated record
UAGAGCUACCUGCGCCCUGACAUGCGCUAGCAUGUGCCCCAUCUGCGCGGGCGAAUGCCCAAUUUCUUGAAAAUGGGCCACUUUUGGGCCCAUGUUUGUAAUAAUAGCCCAUGGCUAUAUAUAGUAGUAGGUCUCUUUCAUUUUAGUUAGUUUUUUGUUGAAUU